CGCGCGCGGCGCGCAUUCGCCGGCCAGCAUGCGCAGCAGCGUCGAUUUCCCGCAGCCGUUCGGCCCCGUGAGCGCGAUGCGCGCGGGCCCGUGCGCGGACCACGUGACGGUGGCCGCGCGCGCGUGCGCGGGCAGCCACGGCAGCCGCGCGGCGUCGAGCGUGAAGAGCCGGCGGCGCGCGGCGAUCUCGGUGCCCGGCAGCGACACGAGCACCGGCGCAUCCGGCUCGAUGCGCGCCGCCGCCGCCUGUACCGCGUCGCCCAACGCGGUCUUCGUGUCGCGAUGAUCGCGCCGCACGCGGCCCAUGAUCUCGCGCGCGCUGUUCUUCAGCGACACGCGCUUGCCGCUCGGCAGGUUGGCCGUCUCCGCAUAGCGGCGCGUGGCGGCCGCAUGCCGCUGGAUCGUGUCGUGCUCGCGCGCGAGCCGGCGGCGCUCGCGCUCGCGCUCGGCGUGCGCGUGAUCGAGCGCGGCCUGCGCCGCCUGGGCCUCGGCGUCGCGCUGCGCACGAUACGCGGCGUAGUUGCCGCCGUACACGCGCGCGCCGCGCGGCGUCAGCUCCACGAUUCGCUCGACGUCGGCGAGCAGCGCGCGAUCGUGGCUCACGACGACGAGGCCGCCGCGCCAGCCGGCGAGCGCCGCGCGCAGCCAUUCGCGGCCGGGCGCGUCGAGAUGGUUCGUCGGCUCGUCGGCGACGAGCAGGUCCGCGCCCGAGAGCAGCGCGCCGAUCAUCGCGACGCGCGCGAGCUGGCCGCCGCUCAGCGCGUGCGCGGGCGUGCGCGCGUCGAGCGGCGGCAGUCCGGCUUCGUCGAGCGCCGCCUGCCAGCGCUCGGCGAGGUCCCAGCGUCCGUCGAGCAAGUCGAAGUCGUCCGCGCGCGCAUCGCCGCGCGCGACGCGCUCGAGCGCGGCGAGCGGCGCGUCGAGGCGCGCGACGGCGGCGGCCGUGCAUCGCGAAUCGUGCAUCGCGUCGGCGUCGUGCUGCGCGACGAACGCGAUCGACGCGUGCCGCUCGAUCGCGCCCGCCGUCGGUGCGAGCCGACCGGCGAUCAGGCGCGCGAGCACGCUCUUGCCGGCGCCGUUGCGGCCGACGAUCGCGCUCGGCGCGCGAUCGAACGUGAGGUCGAGCGAAUCGAACAGCGUGACGCCGUCGUCGAAGCGAAAGGAAACGUGAUGAAGCGCGACGAGCGCGCCGGCGGGAGCGGUCCGGGCCAUGAGCACCUCCGGAAAUGGAUUGCGACAUUCGCGCGGCGCGUACGGCGUGCAUGACGGGCACGAAACGCAAUGCGCAGCGGCGAAACCAUUCGGGGG
RNAcentral lists this ribosomal RNA (1305 nucleotides) under Burkholderia mallei FMH. RNAcentral's name for it is "16S ribosomal RNA". The record is from RNAcentral. Lineage: Bacteria; Pseudomonadati; Pseudomonadota; Betaproteobacteria; Burkholderiales; Burkholderiaceae.